RNAcentral lists this ribosomal RNA (253 nucleotides) under uncultured bacterium. RNAcentral describes it as "partial 16S ribosomal RNA". It matches the Rfam family "Bacterial small subunit ribosomal RNA", at positions 524 to 776 of the family's 1533-position model. The record is from RNAcentral.
UACGAAGGGGGCUAGCGUUGCUCGGAAUCACUGGGCGUAAAGCGCACGUAGGCGGAUCUUUAAGCCAGGGGUGAAAUCCCAAGGCUCAACCUUGGAACUGCCUUUGAUACUGGGGAUCUCGAGUCCGGAAGAGGUUGGUGGAACUCCGAGUGUAGAGGUGAAAUUCGUAGAUAUUCGGAAGAACACCAGUGGCGAAGGCGGCCAACUGGUCCGGCACUGACGCUGAGGUGCGAAAGCGUGGGGAGCAAACAGG